Molecule: microRNA precursor, 72 nt
Filed under: Medicago truncatula (barrel medic)
Lineage: Eukaryota; Viridiplantae; Streptophyta; Magnoliopsida; Fabales; Fabaceae
Description: MIR2629 microRNA precursor family
Rfam family: MIR2629 microRNA precursor family
Source: Rfam by way of RNAcentral
AGUUCAGAUUUCCUCGGCAGUUAACUGCCGUCGGUUUACUAAAAAUUUCGGCAGUAAACUGCCGAAGGGCAU